AACGAACGCUGGCGGCAUGCCUAACACAUGCAAGUCGAACGAGACCUUCGGGUCUAGUGGCGCACGGGUGCGUAACGCGUGGGAACCUGCCCUUAGGUUCGGAAUAACUCCCCGAAAGGGGUGCUAAUACCGGAUAAUGUCUUCGGACCAAAGAUUUAUCGCCUUUGGAUGGCCGCGUUGGAUUAGCUAGUUGGUAGGGUAAAAGCCUACCAAGGCGACGAUCCAUAGCUGGUCUGAGAGGAUGAUCAGCCACACUGGGACUGAGACACGGCCCAGACUCCUACGGGAGGCAGCAGUGGGGAAUAUUGGACAAUGGGCGAAAGCCUGAUCCAGCAAUGCCGCGUGAGUGAUGAAGGCCUUAGGGUUGUAAAGCUCUUUUACCCGGGAUGAUAAUGACAGUACCGGGAGAAUAAGCUCCGGCUAACUCCGUG
This 431-nucleotide ribosomal RNA is filed under the name uncultured bacterium. RNAcentral describes it as "partial 16S ribosomal RNA". It matches the Rfam family "Bacterial small subunit ribosomal RNA", at positions 29 to 507 of the family's 1533-position model. The record is from RNAcentral.